GCUCGUUUGUGUUCAGAGUGCUGCUUCCUUCUUUUCCAAACCACCAAACCACAUUUAGAGCUUGUAAGGAAACAACCUUAUCAUUAAGUUCAGGAGGAACAGCACAGCUCAAAGCAGAUCAAGAUCUUAUCACAAACAAAUAAGAGACCUGCAGGAUGGAAACACUGGACUUGCCAACGCUGAAACUCUCGUCUAUGAAGGAGUGGAAGGAGGAAACAUCACAGUUGAAUGUAAAUUUGUGAUCCUUGGAAGAAAGACAUUGUUCUGCAAAGACAAAUGUGAAAAAGGAAACGUUCUCAUUGAAACAGCUGGUUACACAGCUCAGAGCGGCAGAUACAGCAUUAAAUAUGAAAAAAAUUAUUUCUCAAAGGAUAUUGUGUAUGUGAGCAUCACACAGCUGAACAAGUCUGAUGCAGGAUUGUACAGCUGCAAACUGGACACAAGUUUACAACCAUGUGAUUUUCAGCUUGUCAUCACAGGAGCUUCAAACAUUUCAACACCAAAUCAGCCUUUUUCAGUAUCAACAUUUCUCCUGUCGGCCUCCACAACAACAACAACACAGCAUUUGAACUUCAGUUCAAGAAGCUUCACACCAUCAUCAGCCUCCUCUGAAGUCUCCAGACAGUCUCAAACCGCUGCAGGUUCAGGUAAGCUGCUUCAUGUGAUUCUGAUUCUGGUCGCUAUGAUCACCAUCUUAUCAGCAGCUUUGCUGAUUUUCUACAAGCACAGGAAGAAUAAACCAAAAGGACCUCCUGUGAAAACUGAACAUGCUGACAUCACACAGGCCAACGGGCUUUAUGGAAACAUCACAGAGGAUGAAACUCAGAACAGUGUAACUCCUGUACGGGUGUUUUCAGUUUAUGACUACCCCGAAGGCUCGCAACCAGAUGGAGUUGAAAAACAACAGCUCUACAGCCUCGUCACCGGUCCUCAGAACACGGCUACAGAUGACAUGAAUGAUGCUGAUUACACUGAAGUGGAUUUUUCCCACAUUCCUUCCUCCAACAGCGCCCCCUGUGGUAAUAUAUGUGAUACUGUCUACUGUAUACCUGAGGUUUAUGCCAAUCACACCAACGUUGGUUCACCUCCUCUGUACUCUACUGUAGAAAUACAUUAGUUCUAAUGCUGUGGAUGGCACCUCAGUAGUCAGCAGGUGAACAUAAUUAGCCUUGGAUAAAUGCUAUUUUUUUAUGAUAGUUACUCAUAGUUUAGCUUUAAAAAUAACUAUUUUGCUUUUUUUUCAAACUGUAGUAUUUCAUAAUUAUGUUAUUGUCAUAAUUCAUAGACAAUUACAUAAAAUCAUAAUGAAAUAAACUGCAGCAUCCCAUAACUGUCUAACUGUCUGUUGGAUGGUUAGGCAUUGCAUUUAGCCUUUUAGUUUUCAGCAGCCUGUUUGGAGCAGCUGUGCAGAGUGAUAGAUUGACCAGCAAGCAGGCUGUUCAUGGAGGGAAGCUGCUAAAUUUAGUUAGCAACCAACCAGGUGGCGAAUUUCACAUGUAAUUUUAACUGGUUAGAUUUUAACCUAACCAAGUAGUCCUAUUUUUCUGAAAGCAAACAAAACUAAAACUGACAACUGAAAUAAUAUGAAAGAUUUCAGCACUUUGGCCGACACUUGAUGUCUUUUAAAUGUGCUAUACAAAUAAAGCUGACUUGACUUGACUUGAAAACAAAUUAUUAAGCUUUGGAAAGCUUGAAAAGUUCUAAAGAUGCUUACUAAUAGCAUUAAUCUCACUGCAAAGUGAAUUUCUUUACCAGCAUAGCUAACUAGUGCUAGCUAGCAUUAGCCAGUAGGCUACCAUUCCAGCCACCUUUUUGUUCAAAUAUGGCCACUUGUGUUUACCAAAAAUAGAAUAAUGCAUUAUUAAAGACCUCAAAAAGCUGGUCCAAGUUUCACAGUGGUUAUGUCCAUCUUUGAGUCCAUAACAGAGCGACAGCAGCUACAUUAAUGGAAAAUAUAACCUGUGGAAAUGAACCAGUAAAUUAUAAAUGUUUUGGUUCAACUUUUUAUUUAAAAAAUACUCUCUGUGAAGUUUUCUCUCUGUUACUCGAUAAUCCAGAAAUGUUUGCCAACAGUCUAUGUUGAGAGGGAUUUUCUAACAACUUUACUGAAUGCAGUGUGAUAUGAAACUAAGUCCAGCUCAUUUCCUCCAAUCUCUUCAGUCAAAGAUCAUUUUAUUGCAGGUUCACACAAAAAAUUGACGGAUGAAUUUAAAUGUCAUGUUAUGUGGUGUUUUUCCACAUGUAUCCCGUGUAUGGACACAUGCCAGUGAUGGAUGUCUCUUAUAAUAGCAGCAGUAGUUCUGAGAAGAUCUCUUUGUAUCCUCCUGACCUUUAAGACCUUUAAUACAAAAUGAAAUGAGAGCUGGUUGGAAUGAAUUUCUACAAACUGUUUAAUAGAUAUUGAUCACAAAUAUAAGGUUCCAACAGUGUAACCAUAAAGCUUCUUAUUUAUGUCAUUUUACACUGAAAAUCAUGAAUGUACUGAAUUUACUAUAUUAAUUUAACAAAUGUUAAUUUGUUCACUUAAAAACUAUGUUAUUAUUAUAUGCAUUUAAGCUAUUGCAUUUACAUAUAUAUGUAUAUAUUUUUAUAUCUGUUAUUUAUGUUUCACUGUGCUCAGCAUUACAGUAUUUUUUAGGAUGCAGUAAACUGUAAAACAAUAAUACUGUUUAAAUAACUGAACUGUAAUAAAUCAACUUUGUCUUGUGAUCUGAGGUCGACAGAGAUUGAAGUCCCCCCUUUACCGCCUCUGAUGAUCAGGAAACUGUUUCCUGAUCAUAAAGCAUUUCUAUUCUUAAUCAAAGAUAAAUCAAAAUGUAAGUUUGAUCAAUACAUAAAUGAGAAAUGCAGUUUGAGUUGUAGAAAUUAGUGUUAUAAUAUCUGAGAACUGUGUCACCAACUCUUAAAAAAAGCAUUAAGUAUUGUCAUUGUUAAACACAGAAGCAUGAUUUAUAUGUGGUUUUACUGAUAUGUGGUUUUACUGAUAGUAACACAGUCAGAUAGAGAGAGGGGAUAAGGUGUGGGUGGACCUCGGAUAAUUAAAUGUCAGCACCUUGAUUGGAUGGCUAAAAUGUGAAGAUGUGACGUCCAGUGAAGGAAGGGGGAGAAAGGGUGAGCAGGUAUAAAAGUGGGAUGAAGAAGAGAUUCUGAGUUCUUCCCUUUUGUCUUCUGUGAGAUGAGCAGUUCAGAUGAUUGGAUCUAAGAGGUUCACAGUUCAAAUUCCAGCAGCGAUGCUCGAGGGGGAACUGCAGUCCUGUAAAUGUGCAAAAUUGGUUUUAUAUUUUUUGGCUUUUCAUCUGCUCAUUUUUGCCUAUUUAGUUAAUUCAGAACAAUUUAAAUUUACAUUAUACUUCCACUGAAUGCCGAGCGGCUUUGUGAUUAUUAUCAACUCAGAACAUGAGGAUAAGUGCAUCUUCAGAUCCAGGUGUGCUCAUCCUUUCUCCAUCCUCUCUUCACCAAAGAUAAGAGCACAAUCAGCAUUAGCUCAGGUGUAUUAAGUGAGUAGUAAGAUAGUAAAAAUCAUCAAUUAAACUAUUAGAUUUCUUUUUUGUUCUUGCUAAAUUUCUUGAAUAAACUUUCC
Oreochromis aureus is the source of this 3580-nucleotide long non-coding RNA. The record is from Ensembl. Lineage: Eukaryota; Metazoa; Chordata; Actinopteri; Cichliformes; Cichlidae.